Non-coding RNA from Pelobates cultripes (western spadefoot toad), 81 nucleotides. NCBI's taxonomy places the organism in Eukaryota, Metazoa, Chordata, Amphibia, Anura, Pelobatidae. The record is from the annotation of a GenBank genome assembly.
AUAAGCGUGGCUGAUGACAGCAUUAGACUAGAGUCUCUGAAUUACCAGUGAUGCUUUAGUAAACGCUCUGACACGCUUGAC